Long non-coding RNA from Olea europaea var. sylvestris, 500 nucleotides. RefSeq lists it as uncharacterized. The record is from RefSeq and is a predicted model, not a curated record. Lineage: Eukaryota; Viridiplantae; Streptophyta; Magnoliopsida; Lamiales; Oleaceae. The transcript is spliced from 2 exons.
GCGAAGGUCUACCCGGAAGCGCAAAUAAUAAAUAGAACCAAAAUCUUGUUAAUUUCCCUCUAAAAUCGAACGCAGACGCUCGCAGUUGCGCGAAAGCGCACACAAUACUGCAAACACGAAAUUUGGAUUGAAAACGGGAGAGGGAGCAUUUCGAGAUCCCAAGCUCUGUCCAGUGAUAAAUUUACAUUGCGACAGCGCUAAAUUUCGCCAGCGAUUAAUUAUGAGCUAUUCCUGUAUCAGUUGUCCAGGCUACUUCCACGGUCAUCACCUGAUAUAAUGGCAGAUUACUCCAUAGCCCCAAUCCGAGAAGCUAAAUGAAGGGACUGACUGGAAGGUCUGGCUACAAAAGUGAAUAUACCCCAAAAUUGGAAGGCAAUGAUGUUAUUUACACUAGUUUUUUAUAUGAUUGUUGAUUUUUAGAUAGCCUAUGAUAUUGCGUGAUAUGUGUAGCUCAAAAUUUUCUUUGAUUAUAUCAAUAUAGAAUUGCUUUGAAAUGCCAA